AAUUAUCGCCCAGUUUGAUCUGAUUAUCUAUUUUUAAAAAAAUUUUAAUUUUACUGUCUAACCUUCUAAUUUAUUUAAUCUGCGUCGGUUAAUGACUCUUUAAUUUCAAAUUUUAAAUGUGUUAUCUAUAUUUAUAGAUUUAAUUAGUAUACUUUUUUGUAAUUCAUAUAAAUAUAAAUUUAAUGAAAUAAGUCAUUAGUUUAAAUUUUGUAUCGGAAGAAUCAUUAAAUGACUUAAAUCAAACAAAUUAAAAUUAAAAUUUUUAAAGAUUGAAUAGUCGAAUCUAAUGGUCUGUAUAUAAUUUAGGUAAGUUGUAUAUAUUUUUACUUCUUUACUUUUGUUAGAGUAAGUUAGAUAUAACAUUUCUGUUUUGGCAAUAUCAAAACUUGCUCGACAAUAUCAAUUUAUUUUUGUAAUUCAUUGGGUUUUGGAUCGUUUUUCGCCCCCUAAUUAACGUUCAAUCUCCUUCUAAUUAUUAUUUGAAAAUCUAUUAUUACUAUAUACUAAAGUAGAACCCUUAAUGAACCCUAUGUGAAAAGCUGACACGUGGCGCUCUAUAUGUUUGCCAUGUGUCAAGCUCAAAUAUAGAUUUUUUAUUUUAGAAAAAAAAAAUAGAUUUUUUAAGAAAAUAAUAUCUUUUACUAUAUAGAAAAUCUACGUGUCAAGCUCAAAU
Molecule: long non-coding RNA, 673 nt
Filed under: Ananas comosus (pineapple)
Lineage: Eukaryota; Viridiplantae; Streptophyta; Magnoliopsida; Poales; Bromeliaceae
Description: long non-coding RNA (ACOM_LNC040494)
Source: RNAcentral